AGCAGCCGCAGUAAUUUCAGCUCCAAUAGUGUAUAUUAAAGUUGUUGCAGUUAAAAAGCUCGUAGUUGAAUUUUGGGAUCAGUUGGUCGGUCGUGUCUUGGUACGUACUGGUCAAAUUGAUUCCUACCUUCUGACGAAUCACAAUGUCAUUAAUUUGGUGUCGCAGGAAAUCAGGACUGUUACUUUGAAAAAUUGAGUGUUUAAAGCAGGCUCGUGCUUGAAUACAUUAGCAUAGAAUAAUGAAAUAGACGUUUGAUUCUAUUUUGUAGUUUCUAGGAUCGAUAUAAUGAUUAAUAGGAAUAGUUGGAGGUAUUAGUAUUCAAUUGUCAGAAGUGAAAUUCUUGGAUUUAUGAAGCUAAC
RNAcentral lists this unclassified non-coding RNA (360 nucleotides) under uncultured Glomus. Its description in RNAcentral is "bacterial SSU rRNA". It matches the Rfam family "Eukaryotic small subunit ribosomal RNA", at positions 569 to 940 of the family's 1831-position model. Lineage: Eukaryota; Fungi; Glomeromycota; Glomeromycetes; Glomerales; Glomeraceae. The record is from RNAcentral.